This 429-nucleotide ribosomal RNA is filed under the name Bacillota bacterium. RNAcentral describes it as "Firmicutes bacterium partial 16S ribosomal RNA". It matches the Rfam family "Bacterial small subunit ribosomal RNA", at positions 355 to 776 of the family's 1533-position model. Lineage: Bacteria; Bacillati; Bacillota. The record is from RNAcentral.
UGGGGAAUAUUGGACAAUGGGCGCAAGCCUGAUCCAGCCAUACCGCGUGGGUGAAGAAGGCCUUCGGGUUGUAAAGCCCUUUUGUUGGGAAAGAAAAGCAGCUGGUUAAUACCCGGUUGUUCUGACGGUACCCAAAGAAUAAGCACCGGCUAACUUCGUGCCAGCAGCCGCGGUACUACGAAGGGUGCAAGCGUUACUCGGAAUUACUGGGCGUAAAGCGUGCGUAGUUGGUUGUUUAAGUCCGUCGUGAAAGCCCUGGGCUCAACCUGGGAAUUGCGAUGGAAACUUGGCGACUAGAGUGUGACAGAGGAUAGUGGAAUUCCUGGUGUAGCAGUGCAAUGCGUAGAGAUCAGAAGGAACAUCCGUGGCGAAGGCGACUGUCUGGGCCAACACUGAAACUGAGGCACGAAAGCGUGGGGAGCAAACAGG